RNAcentral lists this unclassified non-coding RNA (341 nucleotides) under Hevea brasiliensis (rubber tree). The record is from RNAcentral. Lineage: Eukaryota; Viridiplantae; Streptophyta; Magnoliopsida; Malpighiales; Euphorbiaceae.
UUAUUGCUAUACUAGGUCCAACACCCAGUAAUGUAGCACCAAGCCCUUUGUACAAUCCAAAAAAGCCUUCAUCUCUACAAAUGGUACGAAGAGAGUGGCAGAUGCCCUGAUAGUAUAUGGUAUUCCUCUGUGCAGCUAAUCUUGUUCUGACAAGAUCUAACGGAUAAGUGGCAGCAGCUGCUGUAAUUCCAGCCAAUCCACCACCAACAAAGUGCACGAAAAUAUCCGCACCUGCAUAUCGCCCUUUACCAUCCAGACCAGGAAUUGAUUUCAAUAUAGUCUUGUAGCGUUCAUAAGCAUAGAAAUUGACUGAGGAAUAAGGAAGCCUGUGAGCAAUAGUG